Molecule: ribosomal RNA, 1379 nt
Filed under: seawater metagenome
Description: bacterial LSU rRNA
Rfam family: Bacterial large subunit ribosomal RNA
Source: RNAcentral
GUAUAAUGGGUCAGCGACUUAAUUUCAGUAGCGAGGUUAACCGUUUAGGGGAGCCGUAGGGAAACCGAGUCUUAAUAGGGCGUAUAGUUGCUGGGAUUAGACCCGAAACCGGGCGAUCUAUCCAUGGGCAGGUUGAAGAUGCGGUAACACGCAUUGGAGGACCGAACCGACUACCGUUGAAAAGUUAGCGGAUGACCUGUGGAUCGGAGUGAAAGGCUAAUCAAGCUCGGAGAUAGCUGGUUCUCCCCGAAAGCUAUUUAGGUAGCGCCUCGGACGAAUACCACUGGGGGUAGAGCACUGUUUCGGCUAGGGGGUCAUCCCGACUUACCAAACCGAUGCAAACUCCGAAUACCAGUGAGUACUAUCCGGGAGACACACGGCGGGUGCUAACGUCCGUCGUGAAGAGGGAAACAACCCAGACCGCCAGCUAAGGUCCCCAAAUUCCAGUUAAGUGGGAAACGAUGUGGGAAGGCUCAGACAGCUAGGAGGUUGGCUUAGAAGCAGCCACCCUUUAAAGAAAGCGUAAUAGCUCACUAGUCGAGUCGGCCUGCGCGGAAGAUGUAACGGGGCUCAAACUGGAUACCGAAGCUGCGGCUGCAUACUAUGUAUGCGGGGUAGGGGAGCGUUGUGUAAGUCUGUGAAGGUGUGUUGAGAAGCAUGCUGGAGAUAUCACAAGUGCGAAUGCUGACGUGAGUAACGAUAAUGGGAGUGAAAAACUCCCACGCCGAAAGACCAAGGUUUCCUGCGCAACGCUAAUCGGCGCAGGGUGAGUCGGCCCCUAAGGCGAGGCAGAAAUGCGUAGCUGAUGGGAAACAGGUUAAUAUUCCUGUACUUCUUAUAACUGCGAUGGAGAGACGGAGAAGGCUAUGCCUACCGGGCGUUGGUUGUCCCGGGGAAAGGCUGUAGGCUGAGGUGUUAGGCAAAUCCGGCACCUUAAGGCUGAGAGUCGAGACCACUGGUCCUUUGUGACCGGGAAGUGGUUGAUGCCAUGCUUCCAGGAAAAUCUUCUAAGCUUCAGGUUAUAAGGAACCGUACCCCAAACCGACACAGGUGGUUGGGAUGAGUAUUCUAAGGCGCUUGAGAGAACUCGGGUGAAGGAACUAGGCAAAGUGGUACCGUAACUUCGGGAGAAGGUACGCCGCUGACGGUGAUGAGACUUGCUCUCUGAGCUAUCGGCGGUCGCAGUGAAAAGGCCCCUGCAACUGUUUAUUAAAAACACAGCACUCUGCAAACGCGUAAGCGGACGUAUAGGGUGUGACGCCUGCCCGGUGCCGGAAGGUUAAUUGAUGGGGUUAGCUUCGGCGAAGCUCUUGAUCGAAGCCCCGGUAAACGGCGGCCGUAACUAUAACGGUCCUAAGGUAGCGAAAUUCCUUGUCGGG